GGCUUGUCUGAGACCACCCAAGAAGCUGGGACCCAUUUCCUGUACCCAAGGAGAACCUGGACACUCAGCCCAGGCCGGAGUGUGGAUGUCCGCCAUGCUGACCAGGGCUGGUGGGCGGGGCCUGGCCUUCCUGGGCCUGGUCCAGUUGUGGUCUGGGUUCAGUUGGGGGCUGGGGCAGGAGGAGGAGGCCUGGCUGGGGCUGCAGGUGCUUCCCAGUCAUGGAGGCCAAAUGAGGAUGUCCCAUUGGGCGGGCAGUUGCCUGCCCCUGCCCCAUCCACAGGGCCAGCAGCCCCAGGAGGAGGAGACAAGGCCCCUCUGCGAUCCGACCCCUGGCUGGAGUCUGCAGAGAGGUGCCUCUAGCCUUCUGUGGCCCCUUGGACAGAGCGGCAGAGGCCAGCACAGCUCUAGACCCCUGCCAAGCCUGCACCCCAGGUCCUGGCCCUGAUGGCCCCUCAGAGAGGAACCGGGACAGCUGUCUCAGGAGCUGGGAGAGGAUGGACUCUAGCCUGGGCCCCUGCCCCCAUCUGCUGGCCCAGCCGGGGACACUGGCUCCUUAGUGCUGGCACUCCCACUAGGCCACUGGGCACUUCACUGCCUCUCUCUCCACCUGCGGCCUCCUAUCUGGGGAGGGCACCGGCCUGGCUCUGGGGUCAGACAGCCUGGGCUCCAAUCCUCACUCUGCUUCUCACUGCUGGGGGGCCUCAGGCAGCCCCCACAAAGUGCCCCUACCUGUAGAGGGCCAAGAGACCGGCCCACAGGCUGUGCAAGGGUCCAGGAGAGCCUAGGGGUGCGGAAGCCGCUCUGGCCCAGGACACAGAGGGUCCCUCGAGUUCACCACUCCAUCCUCCUGCGUGUGGGGUCCUGGCAGGACCCCGGAGGUCUCUGCCCCUCCCCACCAGCUCCUCCAGCCUCGCUGGGGUUGGAGCAGGCAUGUGAGCAGAGAAGGUAAACGGGGCAGCUGCUGCGGAAAACAGUCCACAGCUCCUCCAGCGAUGAAGCACGAAGUACCUGGGGACCACAAGACCCAGAAGCCCCGGGACCAGGUGUCCACCCGGGAGGAAGGUCACAUGUCCUCACAGACACAUGUACACGCAUGUUCGCGGCAGCACCAUUCCCAGCAGCCAAGAGGCAGACACAUCCCCAGUGUCCGUGGACAGAUGAGUGGGGAGAUAGGACGCCUGUCCACACCAUGAAAUGUUCAGCCAAGCCGGGCGCGGUGACUCAAGCCUGUAAUCCCAGCACUUUGGGAGGCCAAGGCGGGUGGAUCACGAGGUCAGGAGAUCGAGACCAUCCCGGCUAACAUGGUGAAACCCCGUCUCUACUAAAAAUACAAAAAACUAGCCGGGCGUGGUGGCGGCGCCUGUAGUCCCAGCUACUAGGAGACUGAGGCAGGAGAAUGGCGUGAACCCAGGAGGCGGAGCUUGCAGUGAGCCGAGAUCGCGCCACUGCACUCCAGCCUGGGCGACACAGCGAGACUCCGUCUCAAAAAAAAAAAAAAGAAAAAAA
Molecule: long non-coding RNA, 1506 nt
Filed under: Macaca fascicularis (crab-eating macaque)
Lineage: Eukaryota; Metazoa; Chordata; Mammalia; Primates; Cercopithecidae
Description: lncRNA (ENSMFAG00000057171.1)
Source: RNAcentral